UCUUUCUUCUUCUCUCUCGCCCUCACACUCUCAUAUAUAUACCCCAUUUUCUUUUAGUAUUUCACCUAUAAUACUCUAAAGCUCUGCCCCCGUUUUAAGUGUUUUAACCCCUGAUCACUGAUACCCUGUCCGAUUGAUAUAGGGCCCCGUAACGCAUGUCAAGGCUUUGCCCGACUAAGUCGUUGGGGUUCUGUCUCGUGACGUAGGGAUAAGGUUGAAUUGGGUUACUAUACUUAACGCGAGUGCAUUAUAUAUUUUAUUAAAUAGAUCAGGAGUUAUACCCAAGAUUAUACCAGAUGGCUUUCUAGUUGAACCCUAAAAUUACAAGGCGAGUCUAUUCUCUUUUCUCACAGUUUUAUCACCUUUUUGUGAUACAGUUAUAUUAAAAAAAUGCUUUUCAAAAUCCUAAAUAUUUAUCAGUUAUGCUUACAGUGAUUAAAUUUUAGUAUUCUGCAAUAAUUGCCGGUAUGGGAGGUUUUAUAAAUUAUUUGACCCUCGUUACUAUUGACCAAAAAGUUAGCCAAUAGUAGCACAAAUGUGGUAUUUAAUAUUUAAUAUAUCAACGCUCAUGUAUGUCUUAAAUAGUAUAUCCCAAUAUUCCAUAGGUCUUGCAAGGUGGUCUAUAGAGUCUAGAUUUACCUGGCAACUUACUAGUAAUAAUACCAUGAGUCACACAAUUUGAUAUUCACCCUAUGAUGUGGAUAUACCACUAAAAUUUGGGUAUCUAUUAGAUUAUUGCAAUCAUGCGGACAAUGACCGUCACCCUUAAUAAAAAUAUAUAAUUAUUGUAAAUGUUUGUAUCGUAUCUUCUAUAUUAAACUGUAAAACAUGAUGCAAAAUUUCAUACAAUGCAGAGCAACAAAUAUUGAAGUUAAUGAUUUCUUGACUUGCAAUUUUUAAUAAAUAAAUAAUUAAAGUAUUACUUUAUGCUAUAUGGAUGGAUAUGUAUCUAUAGAUAUUAUUAUUCAUAAAAUUACCAGAAUCAUGCCUUUUAUAAGUAGAUUGAAUAAAUUAAUUAUGGGUGAUGUGACAAGCGUCAAACGGAGUGUUUCAGUUUAAUUUGAAUAAUAAAAAUCGAGAACAUAAAUACCAAAUAACUAUGUAUGAGAAUCCCCUUUCUCAUUGUGCUUUAAUAUACUAAAAUAUAAGUCGGGAAUUAUAUUUUAAAUCUUAAAUCCCGUUAAUAUAUUAAAUAAUUGUAUCACAAUUAUUUAAUUAAUAUAUUAUAUUAAUUUGACAGAAAAUGAUAUAUUUUAUUUUCUGGAUUAAUUGGUUUUGUGCCAUAGAAAAUAUAUUUGACAAAGUAAUGUCAUAGGACACUACUAAGUCGAGAGUCACUAGUUGAGAGAAUGAUCAACAGUGAUAUGACCAGAGUCACUAGUUGAAAGAAUGAUCAACAGUGAUAUGACCAGAGUCACUAGUUGAAAGAAUGAUCAACAGUGACAUGACCAGUGAUAUGACCAGAGUCACUAGUUGAAAGAAUGAUCGACAGUGAUUUGACCACCGUCACAGGAAUCGCCUAGUGAUAGAUACUUGAAUAAUAAUAAGAUAUAUUUUAUAUCUAGUACUUGAUAAAUUCACUAUUGGACGAAAGUGAGCCAAUGAGUGAUAUGACCACGGUCACAUCGGAACUGCCACCAUGUGACAAAUACUGAUUAAGUUGGGUAAAUAUAAAUAAAUAUAAAAACCUUGAUGCUGUAAAGUAUAACAAUAUGUUUUAUAAAAAUGGAAUGAACUCGCCAGUAACUUGAUGUAAGGAUAGUAGAAGCCCAGCUAUGGAGCACUGAAGACUUAAAUAAAGUGGCU
RNAcentral lists this long non-coding RNA (1806 nucleotides) under Helianthus annuus (common sunflower). RNAcentral describes it as "hypothetical non coding rna". The record is from RNAcentral. Lineage: Eukaryota; Viridiplantae; Streptophyta; Magnoliopsida; Asterales; Asteraceae.